This 497-nucleotide ribosomal RNA is filed under the name uncultured bacterium. Its description in RNAcentral is "partial 16S ribosomal RNA". It matches the Rfam family "Bacterial small subunit ribosomal RNA", at positions 28 to 507 of the family's 1533-position model. The record is from RNAcentral.
GAUGAACGCUGGCGGCGUGCCUAAUACAUGCAAGUCGAGCGAACAGAUAAGGAGCUUGCUCCUUUGACGUUAGCGGCGGACGGGUGAGUUACACGUGGAUAACCUACCUAUAAGACUGGGAUAACUUCGGGAAACCGGAGCUAAUACCGGAUAACAUAUUGAACCGCAUGGUUCAAUAGUGAAAGGCGGCUUUGCUGUCACUUAUAGAUGGAUCCGCGCCGUAUUAGCUAGUUGGUAAGGUAACGGCUUACCAAGGCAACGAUACGUAGCCGACCUGAGAGGGUGAUCGGCCACACUGGAACUGAGACACGGUCCAGACUCCUACGGGAGGCAGCAGUAGGGAAUCUUCCGCAAUGGGCGAAAGCCUGACGGAGCAACGCCGCGUGAGUGAUGAAGGUCUUCGGAUCGUAGAACUCUGUUAUCAGGGAAGAACAAAUGUGUAAGUAACUGUGCACAUCUUGACGGUACCUGAUCAGAAAGCCACGGCUAACUACGUG